AUACGGGGCUCUUCGAGUCUGGUAAUUGGAAUGAGUACAAUCUAAAUCCCUUAACGAGGAUCAAUUGGAGGGCAAGUCUGGUGCCAGCAGCCGCGGUAAUUCCAGCUCCAAUAGCGUAUAUUUAAGUUGUUGCAGUUAAAAAGCUCGUAGUUGGACCUUGGGUUGGGUCGAUCGGUCCGCCUAUGGUGAGCACCGAUUGGCUCGUCCCUUCAUUCGGGGAAACGCUCCUAGCCUUUACUGGCCGGGUCGUGCCUCCGGCGCUGUUACUUUGCAGGAAUUAGAGUGCUCAAAGCCAAGCUCUAUCGCUGCGGUAACACAUUACGCAUGGGAUAAGCAUGCAUACGGAUUCCGAUCC
RNAcentral lists this ribosomal RNA (355 nucleotides) under Babesia vulpes. Its description in RNAcentral is "SSU rRNA". It matches the Rfam family "Eukaryotic small subunit ribosomal RNA", at positions 483 to 839 of the family's 1831-position model. The record is from RNAcentral. Lineage: Eukaryota; Apicomplexa; Aconoidasida; Piroplasmida; Babesiidae.